RNAcentral lists this unclassified non-coding RNA (210 nucleotides) under Hevea brasiliensis (rubber tree). The record is from RNAcentral. Lineage: Eukaryota; Viridiplantae; Streptophyta; Magnoliopsida; Malpighiales; Euphorbiaceae.
AUUUCCACGUGCUUGAUCAUGAAAAAGAAUCGGGACGUGUUGAAGAUAUAAUUAAGUAAAUAAAUGUGUACUCUCUCGAGAUAGUCACACACUUCAACACGGCUACCUACUCAGGCACUUGGUCGUAUUGCUCCUGUUUGUCUUCCAUAGUUUCUUAGAAGUCCCUAGUUACUCUUGUCAUUUUGAUCGUGUACCACUUCACAUUUUUUA